AAUAGCGUAAAUAAUUAUCUAAACAUACGAAACAUAAAUACAAUCGCAUGCAAUAAUAACAUACAGUAACUACCAUAACUAACAGCCAUAGGGGGAACAUCAGCUAAAACACAAAUCAUCUAUGGGUAACCCUGCUGACCCACACCCAACCACGGAUGAGGCGUACGAAAAACUCUAGGAGCCCCUAUCCUACAACCCUGAUUCUAGACCUCAAGACUUUCCUAUCUAGGGUCAUGUCCUCGGAAAUCUGCAUUCUAGUCAUGUCCUGCCUAAUCACCUCACCUCAAUACUUCUUAUGCCUCUCUCUGCCUCGCCGACCGCCAACAAUCUCCAGCCGCUCGCAGCUCC
This 348-nucleotide long non-coding RNA is filed under the name Nicotiana benthamiana. Its description in RNAcentral is "long non-coding RNA (NBEN_LNC014735)". Lineage: Eukaryota; Viridiplantae; Streptophyta; Magnoliopsida; Solanales; Solanaceae. The record is from RNAcentral.